RNAcentral lists this transfer RNA (75 nucleotides) under Kwoniella bestiolae CBS 10118. Its description in RNAcentral is "tRNA-Arg (CCG) (tRNA-Arg-CCG-1-1)". It matches the Rfam family "tRNA". From Rfam's summary of the family: Transfer RNA (tRNA) molecules are approximately 80 nucleotides in length. Their secondary structure includes four short double-helical elements and three loops (D, anti-codon, and T loops). The record is from RNAcentral. Lineage: Eukaryota; Fungi; Basidiomycota; Tremellomycetes; Tremellales; Cryptococcaceae.
GUUCGUGUGUUGCAGUGGUUUCAGCAGACCUGUUUCCGGCGCAGGAGGUCCUGGGUUCGACUCCCAGCUCGAACU